ACAUACAGCAGCUAUGUCUUCCUGCCUUUCCUGAUAUUCCUUUAACAUAUUAACGUGAAAGGAUCUCCGGAUACUUUCGUCAGCACAGCUGGCAAUUAUGUACGUGGUGUCACAUAAUUGUUCCACUACUCUGUAAGGGACCUGCCAUGCCAUCUGUAACUUACCUUGCUUAGUGUGUGUUAAGACACCUCCAGUGUCUUUAGGCAAAACCGCCGUUUAGUCGACCUUCCCCGUCUGCAAUCUCAG
This is a non-coding RNA of Pelobates cultripes (western spadefoot toad), 246 nucleotides long. The record is from the annotation of a GenBank genome assembly. Lineage: Eukaryota; Metazoa; Chordata; Amphibia; Anura; Pelobatidae.